RNAcentral lists this ribosomal RNA (210 nucleotides) under uncultured Dactylosporangium sp. Its description in RNAcentral is "partial 16S ribosomal RNA". It matches the Rfam family "Bacterial small subunit ribosomal RNA", at positions 586 to 795 of the family's 1533-position model. Lineage: Bacteria; Bacillati; Actinomycetota; Actinomycetes; Micromonosporales; Micromonosporaceae. The record is from RNAcentral.
CGUCAGCUGUGAAAACCCGCAGCUCAACUGUGGGCUUGCAGCUGAUACGGGCAGGCUUGAGUUCGGUAGGGGAGACUGGAAUUCCUGGUGUAGCGGUGAAAUGCGCAGAUAUCAGGAGGAACACCGGUGGCGAAGGCGGGUCUCUGGGCCGAUACUGACGCUGAGGAGCGAAAGCGUGGGGAGCGAACAGGAUUAGAUACCCUAGUAGUC